CCUACGGGUGGCUGCAGUGGGGAAUAUUGCACAAUGGGGGAAACCCUGAUGCAGCAACGCCGCGUGAGCGAUGAAGGCUUUCGAGUCGUAAAGCUCUGUCCUAAGGGAAGAUAAUGACGGUACCUUAGGAGGAAGCCCCGGCUAACUACGUGCCAGCAGCCGCGGUAAUACGUAGGGGGCAAGCGUUAUCCGGAAUUAUUGGGCGUAAAGGGUGCGUAGGCGGCCUUAUGGGUCAGAGGUUAAAUACUACGGCUUAACCGUAGUAUGCCUUUGAAACUAUAGGGCUUGAGUGCAGGAGAGGAGAGUGGAAUUCCUAGUGUAGCGGUGAAAUGCGUAGAUAUUAGGAGGAAUACCAGUGGCGAAGGCGACUCUCUGGACUGCAACUGACGCUAAGGCACGAAAGCGUGGGUAGCGAACAGGCUUAGAUACCCUGGUAGUC
This 439-nucleotide ribosomal RNA is filed under the name uncultured Alkaliphilus sp. Its description in RNAcentral is "bacterial SSU rRNA". It matches the Rfam family "Bacterial small subunit ribosomal RNA", at positions 338 to 795 of the family's 1533-position model. The record is from RNAcentral. Lineage: Bacteria; Bacillati; Bacillota; Clostridia; Peptostreptococcales; Natronincolaceae.